Molecule: ribosomal RNA, 589 nt
Filed under: Bradyrhizobium sp. TUTMP9.7
Lineage: Bacteria; Pseudomonadati; Pseudomonadota; Alphaproteobacteria; Hyphomicrobiales; Nitrobacteraceae
Description: bacterial SSU rRNA
Rfam family: Bacterial small subunit ribosomal RNA
Source: RNAcentral
CCUUUUGGUUCGGAACAACACAGGGAAACUUGUGCUAAUACCGGAUAAGCCCUUACGGGGAAAGAUUUAUCGCCGAAAGAUCGGCCCGCGUCUGAUUAGCUAGUUGGUGAGGUAAUGGCUCACCAAGGCGACGAUCAGUAGCUGGUCUGAGAGGAUGAUCAGCCACAUUGGGACUGAGACACGGCCCAAACUCCUACGGGAGGCAGCAGUGGGGAAUAUUGGACAAUGGGGGCAACCCUGAUCCAGCCAUGCCGCGUGAGUGAUGAAGGCCCUAGGGUUGUAAAGCUCUUUUGUGCGGGAAGAUAAUGACGGUACCGCAAGAAUAAGCCCCGGCUAACUUCGUGCCAGCAGCCGCGGUAAUACGAAGGGGGCUAGCGUUGCUCGGAAUCACUGGGCGUAAAGGGUGCGUAGGCGGGUCUUUAAGUCAGGGGUGAAAUCCUGGAGCUCAACUCCAGAACUGCCUUUGAUACUGAAGAUCUUGAGUCCGGUAGAGGUGAGUGGAACUGCAAGUGUAGAGGUGAAAUUCGUAGAUAUUCGCAAGAACACCAGUGGCGAAGGCGGCUCACUGGCCCGGUACUGACGCUGAGGC